RNAcentral lists this unclassified non-coding RNA (263 nucleotides) under plant metagenome. RNAcentral's name for it is "partial contains small subunit ribosomal RNA, internal transcribed spacer 1, and 5.8S ribosomal RNA". The record is from RNAcentral.
UUUCCGUAGGUGAACCAGCGGAAGGAUCAUUAUUGUAUAACCGAGGUGCGAGGGCUGUCGCUGACCCGAAAGGUCGUGCACGCCCGAGUGCCCUCACACACAUCCAUCUCACCCCUAUGUGCACCACCGCGUGGGUCCCCCUUUGGCUUGUUCGGAGGGGGGCUUACGUUUUCACACAAACUUUGUAUGCAGUGUAGAAUGUAUUUUUUGUUUUUGCGAUCACGCAAUCAAUACAACUUUUAACAAUGGAUCUCUUGGCUCUC